RNAcentral lists this ribosomal RNA (301 nucleotides) under uncultured bacterium. RNAcentral's name for it is "partial 16S ribosomal RNA". It matches the Rfam family "Bacterial small subunit ribosomal RNA", at positions 509 to 807 of the family's 1533-position model. The record is from RNAcentral.
CAGCAGCCGCGGGAAUACGUAGGGUGCGAGCGUUGAUCGGAAUUACUGGGCGUAAAGCGUGCGCAGGCGGUUGUGUAAGACAGGUGUGAAAUCCCCGGGCUUAACCUGGGAACUGCGCUUGUGACUGCACAGCUAGAGUAUGGCAGAGGGGGGUGGAAUUCCACGUGUAGCAGUGAAAUGCGUAGAGAUGUGGAGGAAUACCGAUGGCGAAGGCAGCCCCCUGGGCCAAUACUGACGCUCAUGCACGAAAGCGUGGGGAGCAAACAGGAUUAGAUACCCCAGUAGUCCCUGUCUCUUAUAC